GUCCACGCCGUAAACGAUGGGUGCUAGGUGUGGGGUGUCGACUCCCCCGUGCCGAAGCUAACGCAUUAAGCACCCCGCCUGGGGAGUACGGCCGCAAGGCUAAAACUCAAAGGAAUUGACGGGGCCCGCACAAGCAGCGGAGCAUGUGGUUUAAUUCGACGCAACGCGAAGAACCUUACCAAGGCUUGACAUGCACUUGAAAAACGUGGAAACACGUUCCCUCUUCGGAGCAAGUGCACAGGUGGUGCAUGGCUGUCGU
This 259-nucleotide ribosomal RNA is filed under the name uncultured bacterium. RNAcentral describes it as "partial 16S ribosomal RNA". It matches the Rfam family "Bacterial small subunit ribosomal RNA", at positions 793 to 1055 of the family's 1533-position model. The record is from RNAcentral.